GACGAACGCUGGCGGCGUGCCUAAUACAUGCAAGUCGAACGCACAGUUUAUACCGUAGCUUGCUACACCAUAGACUGUGAGUUGCGAACGGGUGAGUAACGCGUAGGUAACCUGCCUGGUAGCGGGGGAUAACUAUUGGAAACGAUAGCUAAUAUCUCAUAAUAUUGAUUAUUGCAUGAUAAUUGAUUGAAAUAUUCUAUUGCAUCACUACCAGCUGGACCUGCGUUGUAUUAGCUAGUAGGUGAGGUAACGGCUCACCUAGGCGACGAUACAUAUCCGACCUGGGAGGGGGAUCGGCCAAAAUGGGACUGAGACAAGGCCCAGACUCCUACGGGAGGCAGCAGUAGGGAAUCUUCGGCAAUGGACGGAAGUCUGAACGGGCAACGCCGCGUGAGUGAAGGAGGGUUUCGGAUCGGAAAGCUCUGUUGUAAGAGAAGAACGGGUGUGAGAGUGGAAAGUUCACAUUGUGACGGUAUCUUACCAGAAAGGGACGGCUAACUACGUG
RNAcentral lists this ribosomal RNA (505 nucleotides) under uncultured bacterium. RNAcentral describes it as "partial 16S ribosomal RNA". It matches the Rfam family "Bacterial small subunit ribosomal RNA", at positions 28 to 507 of the family's 1533-position model. The record is from RNAcentral.